CCCUUAGAUGUUCUGGGCCGCACGCGCGCUACACUGAUGCAUUCAACAAGCCUAGCCUUGACCGAGAGGUCCGGGUAAUCUUUGAAACUGCAUCGUGAUGGGGCUAGAUUAUUGCAAUUAUUAAUCUUCAACGAGGAAUGCCUAGUAAGCGUGAUUCAUCAAAUCGCGUUGAUUACGUCCCUGCCCUUUGUACACACCGCCCGUCGCUCCUACCGAUUGAAUGUGUUGGUGAGGAGCUCGGAUUGGCAGCAGUUGGUGGUUCGCCACCGACUAUUGCUGAGAAGUCCUCCAAACCGCCCCAUUUAGAGGAAGGAGAAGUCGUAACA
RNAcentral lists this ribosomal RNA (326 nucleotides) under uncultured eukaryote. Its description in RNAcentral is "partial 18S ribosomal RNA". It matches the Rfam family "Eukaryotic small subunit ribosomal RNA", at positions 1470 to 1796 of the family's 1831-position model. The record is from RNAcentral.